UACGUAGGGGGCUAGCGUUGUCCGGAAUCAUUGGGCGUAAAGCGCGUGUAGGCGGUCCGGUAAGUCCGCUGUGAAAGUCGGGGGCUCAACCCUCGAAUGCCGGCCGAUACUGUCGGACUAGAGUCCGGAAGAGGCGAGUGGAAUUCCUGGUGUAGCGGUGAAAUGCGCAGAUAUCAGGAGGAACACCAAUGGCGAAGGCAGCUCGCUGGGACGGUACUGACGCUGAGGCGCGAAAGCGUGGGGAGCAAACAGG
RNAcentral lists this ribosomal RNA (253 nucleotides) under uncultured bacterium. RNAcentral's name for it is "partial 16S ribosomal RNA". It matches the Rfam family "Bacterial small subunit ribosomal RNA", at positions 524 to 776 of the family's 1533-position model. The record is from RNAcentral.